CGGUGUUUAACUGGCGUGAUGUGGGACGUCCUACCGGUGGGCUUAGCCUCGCGAGGGGCGGCCCAACUAAUAUCCCGUCGCGGUGCUCUUUACUGAGUGUCGAGUCGGGCCGGUACGUUUACUUUGAACAAAUUAGAGUGCUUAAAGCAGGCUAUCCUCGCCUGAAUACUGCGUGCAUGGAAUAAUGGAAUAGGACCUCGGUUCUAUUUUGUUGGUUUUCGGAACCCCGAGGUAAUGAUUAAUAGGGACAGAUGGGGGCAUUCGUAUUGCGACGUUAGAGGUGAAAUUCUUGGAUCGUCGCAAGACGGACAGAAGCGAAAGCAUUUGCCAAAAAUGUUUUCAUUAAUCAAGAACGAAAGUUAGAGGUUCGAAGGCGAUCAGAUACCGCCCUAGUUCUAACCAUAAACGAUGCCAGCUAGCGAUCCGCCGAAGUUCCUCCGAUGACUCGGCGGGCAGCUUCCGGGAAACCAAAGCUUUUGGGUUCCCGGGGGAAGUAUGGUUGCAAAGCUGAAACUUAAAGGAAUUGACGGAAGGGCACCACCAGGAGUGGAGCCUGCGGCUUAAUUUGACUCAACACGGGAAACCUCACCAGGCCCAGACACCGGAAGGAUUGACAGAUUGAUAGCUCUUUCUUGAUUCGGUGGGUGGUGGUGCAUGGCCGUUCUUAGUUGGUGGAGCGAUUUGUCUGGUUAAUUCCGAUAACGAACGAGACUCUAGCCUGCUAAAUAGGCGUACCUUAUGGUAUCGCGAAGGCCCCCGGCUUCGGCCGGUGGGUUUUUACUACCAACGUACAAACAAAUCUUCUUAGAGGGACAGGCGG
This 820-nucleotide ribosomal RNA is filed under the name uncultured eukaryote. Its description in RNAcentral is "SSU rRNA". It matches the Rfam family "Eukaryotic small subunit ribosomal RNA", at positions 629 to 1426 of the family's 1831-position model. The record is from RNAcentral.